GACAGAGGUGCCGAGCGUUAGGCGGAAUCACUGGGCUUAAAGCGUGUGUAGGCGGAUCGUUAAGUGUCUUGUGAAAUCCCACGGCUCACCCGUGGAACUGCUGGGCAUACUGGCGAUCUUGGGCCAACUAGGGGCAGUCGGAACAAGCGGUGGAGCGGUGAAAUGCGUAGAUAUCGCUUGGAACGCCGAAGGUGAAAACAGACUGCUGGGGUUGCGCCGACGCUGAGACACGAAAGCCAGGGGAGCAAACAGG
RNAcentral lists this ribosomal RNA (253 nucleotides) under uncultured bacterium. Its description in RNAcentral is "partial 16S ribosomal RNA". It matches the Rfam family "Bacterial small subunit ribosomal RNA", at positions 524 to 776 of the family's 1533-position model. The record is from RNAcentral.